AUUAAAUAAACACAGAACCUAUAAGUAAGUAAAAAUUUAGAUACAUGCAUAUCUUUAAAAUUCUUAAGCAAUAUUAAGCCAUUUUGCCUAGAUAUCAUGAACCUCAAUUCUUUGAGAUUUGGAAUGUUUUUAAGUUUAAAUACUUUUCUCCUAAAUAAUGUGAUUAUUUGAGUUUUCUAAUAAUGUUAUGAUAAAAUUUAAAAAUCCAUCCUCAAAAAGUUUAGUAAUAAUUACUAGCAAAUCUUAGUGUAAAUCACAGGUUGUAAUGCCUGUUUACCGUUUUUUCAAUAUUGAAAUAAGAAAUUAGGAAAAAAUCUGCAUUUUUUUAGUUCUGGUAAGAUUUCAUUUUAAGUUGUCUACUUUUAAAAAAAAUUAUAAAUUAUUUAGUAUGCUGACAUUCAAGCUUUAAAUAAUUCAUGAACAUGAUGAAUAAUGUAGAGUACUUAGCAUCAAAAACUCUGUCUUGUCUCAGUUGGAAUAAAUCUUAAUAGCCUCUGGGAAAUGGUUUGAAAUGAGUGAGCUAUAAGUAAUGAAUAAAUUAUCAUAGUUAAGAAAGAGCAAAUAAAGUGAUUUAAUUCAGUUUCAGUUAUUCUUUGCUACCAUCCCAAAACUUAAUGGCUUAAGAUAACUAUUUUAUUUGCUCACUUUUUUGUGGGAUAACAGUUUGGUCAGGUUUAACUGAGUAAUCCUCCUUUCUCAAGUGGUUGUACUUAUCUGCCACCUUGACUGAGGCAGUUGUAUAGUUUUUCUAAAAUUACCUGCUCAUGUGUCUGGCAGUUGUGCUAAGUGUUGGGUAGCUCAUAUGAUCCCAUUGAGGUUUUUAUGUGGCAGUAACAGCCUUCUGAGAGCUUGAAAACAGAAGUUGCAAGGCCUCUUGAUCCCAGUUUAGAAUAUACAUGCUGUCCAUUUACAGUAGCAUUAAAAAGAAUGAAAUAUUCAGGAAUGUUUCUAACCAAGGAGGUGAAAGACUUGUACAUUUAAAAACUACAAAAUGUUGCUGAAAAAAGUUAAAGAAUAUGUGAAAAGACAAGACAUCUCCUAUUCAAAGACUAGAAGACUUAAUAUUAUUAAGAUAAUAAUACUUGGGGCUGGGGUUGUGGCUCAGUGGUAGAGCUCUUGCCUAGCAUGUGCGGUUCCCUGGGUUCAAUCCUCAGUAACACAUAAAAGUAAAAUAAUGGUAUUGUGUCCAACUACAACUAAAAAAUAAUAUUUAAAAAAAUAUAUUAAUACUGCCCAAAGUGUUCUACAGAUUCAAUAUAAUCUACAUCAGAAUCCUAGUGCUUCUGUAAAAAUAGAAAAAUUCGUGCUAAAAUUGAUUUGGAUUUCCACAGUACCCUUUAUAGCAAACACAAUCUUGGAAAAGAAAACAAAGUUGAAGGUCUCAUUUCCUGAUUCCAAAACUUGCUACAAAACUGCUCUAAUGAAAACACUGUGGUAUUGGCAUACAGAGUAACAGGUAUACCAGUAGAAUAAAAUAGAGAGCUCAGAACUAAAUCCUCAUAUCUGUGGUCAAAAAAUUUUGAGAAAAGUACAAAGAUCAUUCUUAAUUAACACCUGAGGAAUUAACUUAUGAAGUUAUUAAAAGUUACAGUGCAUAAUCAUAAACCCAUUGUUUUUAGACCUCUGGUGGGAAUGUUAGCUGGCAGUGGCAGGGAACAAGUAGCAGAGCAAACUUCUCAGCUCAUGACCAGAAAGCAAGAGAGAAAGAGAGGAGCUGGGUCUCUCAGUUCCCUUUGUGGGCAUGCCCCCAAUGACCUAAGAUUCUCAUACUAGAUCCCACUUCUCAAACAUUCCACCAGUUUCCAACAGUACCAGCCUUUAAUGCAUAGGUCUUUGGUGACAUUCAGCAUCAAAAUUAUAGCACCAUUCAGUGGGUAAAGAACAUUUUAAAUAAAUGGUUCUGGGAAAACUGGAUAUCCACAUGAAAAAAUGUAGUUCAGCCCUUCCCAUACUUUAUAUACAAAAAUUUUACUCAGUGGAUCAAAGAUCUAAACAUAUGUUUUUUAAAAAAAAAAAAAUUAAUGUAAUGUAUAUUUUACCACAAUAAAAAAAAUAAAUUCAUAAGUUGUGUCAUUGUUGCAUAUUAUGUUAGUCAAAAUAUGUCAGAAAGCCAGUCCAGAUUCAAGGUAUAUGGAUAUAAAUUUCACCUCAUUUUGGGAAAAACAGCAAAGUCACAUUUGCAAAGGGCCUUAUGAAAUGGAAGAAAUGAUGGCAAUUAUCUUUGCAAACAAUCUAAUAGAAAAUGUGAUAGACUUCAAGAGAAAUUAGAAUAUUGAAUUCAGA
RNAcentral lists this long non-coding RNA (2283 nucleotides) under Marmota monax (woodchuck). The record is from RNAcentral. Lineage: Eukaryota; Metazoa; Chordata; Mammalia; Rodentia; Sciuridae.